GUGCUUACACAUGCAAGUCGAACGCUGAAGCCGACAGCUUGCUGUUGGUGGAUGAGUGGCGAACGGGUGAGUAACACGUGAGUAACCUGCCCCUGAUUUCGGGAUAAGCCUGGGAAACUGGGUCUAAUACCGGAUAUGACCAAUCUUCGCAUGAGGGUUGGUGGAAAGUUUUUCGAUCGGGGAUGGGCUCGCGGCCUAUCAGCUUGUUGGUGGGGUAAUGGCCUACCAAGGCGACGACGGGUAGCCGGCCUGAGAGGGCGACCGGCCACACUGGGACUGAGACACGGCCCAGACUCCUACGGGAGGCAGCAGUGGGGAAUAUUGCACAAUGGGGGAAACCCUGAUGCAGCGACGCAGCGUGCGGGAUGACGGCCUUCGGGUUGUAAACCGCUUUCAGCAGGGAAGAAGCGAAAGUGACGGUACCUGCAGAAGAAGUACCGGCUAACUACGUGCCAGCAGCCGCGGUAAUAC
This 471-nucleotide ribosomal RNA is filed under the name Brevibacterium iodinum. RNAcentral's name for it is "bacterial SSU rRNA". It matches the Rfam family "Bacterial small subunit ribosomal RNA", at positions 44 to 526 of the family's 1533-position model. Lineage: Bacteria; Bacillati; Actinomycetota; Actinomycetes; Micrococcales; Brevibacteriaceae. The record is from RNAcentral.